Molecule: ribosomal RNA, 558 nt
Filed under: uncultured Clostridium sp.
Lineage: Bacteria; Bacillati; Bacillota; Clostridia; Eubacteriales; Clostridiaceae
Description: bacterial SSU rRNA
Rfam family: Bacterial small subunit ribosomal RNA
Source: RNAcentral
AGCGGCGGACGGGUGAGUAACACGUGGGCAACCUGCCUCAUAGAGGGGGAUAGCCUCCCGAAAGGGAGAUUAAUACCGCAUAACACUGCGGAUUCGCAUGAAACUGCAGUUAAAGGAGCAAUCCGCUAUGAGAUGGGCCCGCGGCGCAUUAGCUAGUUGGUGAGGUAACGGCUCACCAAGGCGACGAUGCGUAGCCGACCUGAGAGGGUGAUCGGCCACAUUGGAACUGAGACACGGUCCAGACUCCUACGGGAGGCAGCAGUGGGGAAUAUUGCACAAUGGGCGAAAGCCUGAUGCAGCAACGCCGCGUGGAGGAAGAAGGCCUUCGGGUUGUAAACUCUUGUCUUCUGGGACGAUAAUGACGGUACCAGAGGAGGAAGCCACGGCUAACUACGUGCCAGCAGCCGCGGUAAUACGUAGGUGGCGAGCGUUGUCCGGAUUUACUGGGCGUAAAGGAUGCGUAGGCGGAUAUUUAAGUGGGAUGUGAAAUACCCGGGCUUAACCUGGGUGCUGCAUUCCAAACUGGAUAUCUAGAGUGCAGGAGAGGAAAGCGGAAUU